CUUCCCAUUCCGAACAGAGAAGUUAAGCCCGACCGCGCCGAUGGUACUGCGUAACAGUGGGAGAGUAGGUAGCCGCCGUCU
This 81-nucleotide ribosomal RNA is filed under the name Candidatus Bacteroides avicola. Lineage: Bacteria; Pseudomonadati; Bacteroidota; Bacteroidia; Bacteroidales; Bacteroidaceae. The record is from RNAcentral.